GGCUGAAACUCGCCUACAUGAAGCUGGAGUUACUAGUAAUCGCAGAUCAGAAUGCUGCGGUGAAUGCGUUCCCGGGUCUUGUACACACCGCCCGUCACACCACGGGAGUUGGAGACGCCCGAAGCCGAUUAUCUAACCUUUUGGAAGAAGUCGUCGAAGGUGGAAUCAAUAACUGGGGUGAAGUCGUAACAAGGUAGCCGUAUCGGAAGGUGCGGCUGGAUCACCUCCUUUCUAAGGAGA
This 240-nucleotide ribosomal RNA is filed under the name Clostridioides difficile. RNAcentral describes it as "partial 16S ribosomal RNA". It matches the Rfam family "Bacterial small subunit ribosomal RNA", at positions 1303 to 1533 of the family's 1533-position model. Lineage: Bacteria; Bacillati; Bacillota; Clostridia; Peptostreptococcales; Peptostreptococcaceae. The record is from RNAcentral.